This 200-nucleotide ribosomal RNA is filed under the name uncultured bacterium. Its description in RNAcentral is "partial 16S ribosomal RNA". It matches the Rfam family "Bacterial small subunit ribosomal RNA", at positions 8 to 222 of the family's 1533-position model. The record is from RNAcentral.
AGAGUUUGAUCCUGGCUCAGGACGAACGCUGGCGGCGUGCUUAACACAUGCAAGUCGAACGAGGCCUUGUGCCUAGUGGCGAACGGGUGAGUAACACGUGAGCAACCUGCCCUUGGCUCUGGGAUAGCCUCCGGAAACGGGGAUUAAUACCGGACAUGACCGGGGACCGCAUGGUCUUUGGUGGAAAGUUUUUCGGCCAU